RNAcentral lists this unclassified non-coding RNA (307 nucleotides) under plant metagenome. RNAcentral describes it as "partial contains 5.8S ribosomal RNA, internal transcribed spacer 2, and large subunit ribosomal RNA". The stretch from base 1 to 105 matches the Rfam family "5.8S ribosomal RNA", at positions 50 to 154 of the family's 154-position model. The record is from RNAcentral.
GAAAUGCGAUAAGUAAUGUGAACUGCAGAAUUCAGUGAAUCAUCGAAUCUUUGAACGCACAUUGCGCCCGCCAGCACUCUGGCGGGCAUGUCUGUUCGAGCGUCAUUUCAACCCUCAGAACCCCUUGCGGGAUCUGGCGUUGGGGAUUGGCAUCCAGCCAGCCCCGAAAUCUAGUGGCGGUCCCUCCGCGACCUCCCCUGUGCAGUAGCGAUACCUCGCAGCGGGACAGCGGUCUGACCACGCCGUAAAACCCCCAACUUCUCAAGGUUGACCUCGAAUCAGGUAGGAAUACCCGCUGAACUUAAGC